GACGAGGAGCUUGCUCCUCUGACGUUAGCGGCGGACGGGUGAGUAACACGUGGAUAACCUACCUAUAAGACUGGGAUAACUUCGGGAAACCGGAGCUAAUACCGGAUAAUAUAUUGAACCGCAUGGUUCAAUAGUGAAAGACGGUUUUGCUGUCACUUAUAGAUGGAUCCGCGCCGCAUUAGCUAGUUGGUAAGGUAACGGCUUACCAAGGCAACGAUGCGUAGCCGACCUGAGAGGGUGAUCGGCCACACUGGAACUGAGACACGGUCCAGACUCCUACGGGAGGCAGCAGUAGGGAAUCUUCCGCAAUGGGCGAAAGCCUGACGGAGCAACGCCGCGUGAGUGAUGAAGGUCUUCGGAUCGUAAAACUCUGUUAUUAGGGAAGAACAAAUGUGUAAGUAACUAUGCACGUCUUGACGGUACCUAAUCAGAAAGCCACGGCUAACUACGUGCCAGCAGCCGCGGUAAUACGUAGGUGGCAAGCGUUAUCCGGAAUUAUUGGGCGUAAAGCGCGCGUAGGCGGUUUUUUAAGUCUGAUGUGAAAGCCCACGGCUCAACCGUGGAGGGUCAUUGGAAACUGGAAAACUUGAGUGCAGAAGAGGAAAGUGGAAUUCCAUGUGUAGCGGUGAAAUGCGCAGAGAUAUGGAGGAACACCAGUGGCGAAGGCGACUUUCUGGUCUGUAACUGACGCUGAUGUGCGAAAGCGUGGGGAUCAAACAGGAUUAGAUACCCUGGUAGUCCACGCCGUAAACGAUGAGUGCUAAGUGUUAGGGGGUUUCCGCCCCUUAGUGCUGCAGCUAACGCAUUAAGCACUCCGCCUGGGGAGUACGACCGCAAGGUUGAAACUCAAAGGAAUUGACGGGGACCCGCACAAGCGGUGGAGCAUGUGGUUUAAUUCGAAGCAACGCGAAGAACCUUACCAAAUCUUGACAUCCUCUGACCCCUCUAGAGAUAGAGUUUUCCCCUUCGGGGGACAGAGUGACAGGUGGUGCAUGGUUGUCGUCAGCUCGUGUCGUGAGAUGUUGGGUUAAGUCCCGCAACGAGCGCAACCCUUAAGCUUAGUUGCCAUCAUUAAGUUGGGCACUCUAAGUUGACUGCCGGUGAUAAAACCGGAGGAAGGUGGGGAUGACGUCAAAUCAUCAUGCCCCUUAUGAUUUGGGCUACACACGUGCUACAAUGGACAAUACAAAGGGCAGCGAAACCGCGAGGUCAAGCAAAUCCCAUAAAGUUGUUCUCAGUUACGGAUUGGAGUGUGCAAGCUCGCGUAUACGAAGUCGG
RNAcentral lists this ribosomal RNA (1278 nucleotides) under Staphylococcus epidermidis. RNAcentral describes it as "bacterial SSU rRNA". It matches the Rfam family "Bacterial small subunit ribosomal RNA", at positions 70 to 1329 of the family's 1533-position model. The record is from RNAcentral. Lineage: Bacteria; Bacillati; Bacillota; Bacilli; Caryophanales; Staphylococcaceae.